Molecule: ribosomal RNA, 770 nt
Filed under: uncultured archaeon
Lineage: Archaea
Description: bacterial SSU rRNA
Rfam family: Archaeal small subunit ribosomal RNA
Source: RNAcentral
CUCAGUAACACGUGGAUAACCUACCCUUAGGACCGGAAUAACCCCGGGAAACUGGGGAUAAUACCGGAUAAGCCAUAGACGCUGGAAUGCCCUAUGGUUCAAAGCUCCGGCGCCUAAGGAUGGAUCUGCGGUCUAUCAGGUUGUAGUGGGUGUAACGUACCUACUAGCCGACGACGGAUACGGGUUGUGAGAGCAAGAGCCCGGAGAUGGAUUCUGAGACACGAAUCCAGGCCCUACGGGGUGCAGCAGGCGCGAACACUUUACAAUGCGGGAAGCCGCGAUAAGGGAACCCCGAGUGCCAGCAUCAAAUGUUGGCUGUCCGGAUGAUUAAAAAUCAUUUGUUAGCAAGGGCCGGGCAAGACCGGUGCCAGCCGCCGCGGUAACACCGGCGGCCCGAGUGGUAGCCGUUUUUAUUGGGUCUAAAGGGUCCGUAGCCGGCCUGAUCAGUCCUUUGGGAAAUCUGGCAGCUUAACUGUCAGGCUUCUAAGGGAUACUGUCAGGCUUGGGACCGGAAGAGGUAAGGGGUACUCCAGGGGUAGGAGUGAAAUCUUGUGAUCCCUGGGGGACCAUCUGUGGCGAAGGCGUCUUACCAGAACGGGUCUGACGGUGAGGGACGAAAGCUGGGGGCGCAAACCGGAUUAGAUACCCGGGUAGUCCCAGCCGCAAACGAUGCUCGCUAUGUGUCAGGUACGGUGCGACCGUAUCUGGUGCCGUAGGGAAGCCGUGAUGCGAGCCACCUGGGAAGUACGGUCGCAAGACUGAAACUAAAG